CGCUGCCGCCGGCUCCGGAUUAAAGCUGAGGAGCCGGCGCCGGGCGAGCCGGGGAGGUGAGGAUGGGUUUUCUCCGCUGGCUCGUGGCCUCUGCGCUCUGCAUCUUCAUCUGGGGACAGGACUAUGUGCUCUCCCGCCCACCCCCUCAGUUCGGCUCCAUCUACCACGUCCGAGGGGUCAUUAAGCUGCCCUAUGCUGAGAUCGAGGAGCCCUUCGAAGCCUGGUACAACCUGACGGGGAACAAGAGCCGGAUCCAGUAUUAUGGAGGUAAGAGGUGGGCACCCACCUGUUCCAGCUGCGCCCACCCUGUGCUGGCAGGAC
RNAcentral lists this long non-coding RNA (321 nucleotides) under Lepidothrix coronata (blue-crowned manakin). Its description in RNAcentral is "lncRNA (ENSLCOG00000001158.1)". The record is from RNAcentral. Lineage: Eukaryota; Metazoa; Chordata; Aves; Passeriformes; Pipridae.